This 465-nucleotide ribosomal RNA is filed under the name uncultured bacterium. Its description in RNAcentral is "partial 16S ribosomal RNA". It matches the Rfam family "Bacterial small subunit ribosomal RNA", at positions 338 to 795 of the family's 1533-position model. The record is from RNAcentral.
CCUACGGGAGGCAGCAGUAGGGAAUCUUCCACAAUGGGCGAAAGCCUGAUGGAGCAACGCCGCGUGGGUGAAGAAGGUCUUCGGAUCGUAAAACCCUGUUGUUAGAGAAGAAAGUGCGUGAGAGUAACUGUGCACGUUUCGACGGUAUCUAACCAGACAGCCACGGCUAACUACGUGCCAGCAGCCGCGGUAAUACGUAGGUGGCAAGCGUUAUCCGGAUUUAUUGGGCGUAAAGGGAACGCAGGCGGGCUUUUAAGUCUGAUGUGAAAGCCUUCGGCUUAACCGGAGUAGUGCAUUGGAAACUGGGAGACGUGAGUGCAGAAGAGGAGAGUGGAACUCCAUGUGUAGCGGUGAAAUGCGUAGAUAUAUGGAAGAACACCAGUGGCGAAAGCGGCUCUCUGGUCUGUAACUGACGCUGAGGUUCGAAAGCGUGGGUAGCAAACAGGAUUAGAUACCCUAGUAGUC